AUCUAACCCUAUAAUAAAACACAUUUACACCUUUCAUGGUUGUAUAAAACAUUAUAUAAUAAAAAUGUAUAAUAUUGAUCUAUCAUAUUGCAGGAGUAGCAGAGGUCAGUGGCAAAGAGAGUCUUAAUACAAUGAGGAAAAUUAUUGAGGACCAUGUACAUGAGUCAAAGGCCACUAUGUUUGACUUGGCCAAGAAGAAGAUGUUGACCAAACUGAGAAAGCUGAUGGUUUGUUUAUUACACAAAUUGUGGAGUUAUUGUGAAGUAGUGUCAUGAGAAAAAUACACAAAGUAAUAUUUGUCCAUGUGAGUAAUGAGUAAUGGAGGUUUUUUGAUGCUGAAAUAGAGGGACAUCUUGAAAACACUGACGUACACUAUGCAGAGAUCCAUAGAGCUGUCACUGAAGAUGAAUGACAACUCAAUCCCAGAUGUUUCAGCUGAACAUUCUAAAGUGGAGAGUUACUACAAAGAGCUGAAAGGCCCAGAUGAAGAGACUUCCUUACUCUGGCCUGACAUGUUGGAUGACUCAUUGGAUUCACCUGGUCCAGCUGCAGCAGCAGAGACGUCAGACUUCAGAUUUCAUUGAAACUCAUCAUGUCCUCACCAUGUCUGACUGUUUUAGGGAAAACAAACAAGACAAUCUGAUUAGCUGCAGGUUUUGCUGCCAUACCUAGGCUGUGGAGUUGCUAUCAAUCACUCUUAUUAACAUAUGUUGUAUUAUGGCAUUAUUUUAAUGUUUACUUUUUUUGUUAGAAUGGGUUUGUGUGGGAGUUUCAAUAGCAUGCAGAAACUUCCUGUUUUGUAGAAUUGUGCUUAGUGAGAUGUUUUUCUUUGUAUAAACACAGCCUGGGCAAAAAAACAACAACAAAAAAACCUGGAUUUAACUAAACAAGUAGUUCAGAACCAUCCAAAUACAUACAUUUUUUGAAACUAUAUAAUGGGAAAUACUAUAGGUUUAGGGUUAGCGUUAGGGUUAAGGACUUUUACGUAUUCAUGUAAUAAUGACAAAGGGAUGUUUCCUUCCUGCAGACUUUCCUGUAGUUUGCAUACAUUUUAACUCAUAUAAACUCUGCAGUUUGAUGUAGACAUUAAAAAUAACCUAUAAAAACUUAUCUGUGGUUUGUUCUUUUCCAAUAAGCAGACCCUGACAAAGAUAGAACCAUCAUUCACUUACAAGUCUAAAUACUUCCUUUUUCACAGCAUUUGCUUUUACAAAUUUGACAGUUUUUAUCAUUUGAAUAUGUUUUCAUGACUUUGUCCUGCUCAGUGUCUGUUGGUGGCUCUUGAAUUUCCCUGAACUGUUUGAACAUUGAACACAUGAAAUCGCUUAGAGUCAAAACAUCCUGAUGGUUUUGACCCCUCUGUCAUCAGUCAUAGGGGCAGAGUUGUACCCUGUCUGUCAACAUGAUAGCUCACCAAAUCAUCUGAUCUCCUUCAUGUUUGAAUUUUACUUAUGACUUGUGAAGCUCUUUGAUAAGUUCUUUGGGCGUUGACCUUGACCUUCAUUUUCAAGGUGAAAUUGGAGUUGACACAUCAAAUUCGGGCCACAAUGUUGAUCUACAUUUUUCAGGUCUUUUGGGGUCAGUGCAGGGUCAUGAGGGCAGAUAGGAGAAAGCAGAACAGAUGAGGAGAGGAGACAGUGAUACUGGUAGGGGAGCAGUGAGCACCAGGAGUAUAGGUGCAGGACAGCCCUCAUUGUCAAAAGGGGUGGACGAGGGUCAGUACAAUGGUCAAAGUGAGCAUUAAAAGUAUGUUUUAAUGGAAUUAUCUACAAUGUGUAAAAACAAAAACAUUGCUAACUGCAAAAUGGUGGCUUCAAUAUGCAUUUACAGUGAUCCCUUGCCAAUUCACGCUUUAAGUUCCGCGGUUUUAGUUAUUCACAGAUUUUUCAGAAAUAUUCAUC
Molecule: long non-coding RNA, 1901 nt
Organism: Sphaeramia orbicularis (orbiculate cardinalfish)
Lineage: Eukaryota; Metazoa; Chordata; Actinopteri; Kurtiformes; Apogonidae
Source: Ensembl